GGAUCGGGCGAGGCGUCUGGGGCGACGCGUCAGGAAUUGAUCUCCGUCGGACUUCCCGAUUGCACUACGGGCCCGGCCCCCACCGUGUUCGUG
This is a regulatory RNA element of Roseivivax jejudonensis, 93 nucleotides long. It matches the Rfam family "Rhodo-rpoB RNA". NCBI's taxonomy places the organism in Bacteria, Pseudomonadati, Pseudomonadota, Alphaproteobacteria, Rhodobacterales, Roseobacteraceae. The record is from Rfam.